This 346-nucleotide ribosomal RNA is filed under the name Sphodromantis lineola. Its description in RNAcentral is "partial 16S ribosomal RNA". The record is from RNAcentral. Lineage: Eukaryota; Metazoa; Arthropoda; Insecta; Mantodea; Mantidae.
GGCCGCAUUAUUUYGACUGUGCAAAGGUAGCAUAAUCAUUAGUCUUUUAAUUGAAGGCUGGUAUGAAUGGUUGGAUGAGGUGAAUUCUGUUUUAURUUAAUUUUUAUUGAGUUUAGAUUUUAAGUAAAAAGACUUAAAUGUUAUUAAGGGACGAGAAGACCCUAUAGAGUUUCAUGUCUGUAGUAAUUAAUUGAGUUAAAUCUUAAUUUUUGAUCAUUAUGAAAUUUAUUUAUUUGGGGUGAUUGGAAGAUAAAAUUAACUCUUCUUUGUAUUUAAUAUAGUAAUUAGUUAUAUAAACCAUGUUUAAUGAUUAAAAGAUUAAAUUACCUAAGGGAUAASAGCAUAA